CCUAUGUGCAGAAUGAAUUUGCUAUACACAGGUGGCUGACUACAGCUUCCUUCUCCACAAUAACCAUUGAGAGCAGUAAUAAUGAAAUACAAGAGUACCAACACAAAGUAAAUGGCUCAGUAGAAUACAAUAAACAUUGUAUAAUAUAUAGGGAAAUAUAAUACAGGAAGGUACAAUUUAUAGUUCAAUAUUUCAACCGGGUUUUUUUGGGGGGGAAAAGGGGGAUCGUGGCAAUGUUUACUUUGUGCCGAAUUAGCAAUAAUAAAUAAGAGUUUGGUAGAGGUGGUGUGUGUGUGUGUGCGUGUGUGCGUGCAUGUGUGCGUGUGUCUGUGUGUGUGUGUGCGUGUGUCGUGUGUCUGUGUGUGUGUGUGCGCGUGUGUUUGUGUGCGCGUGUGUGUGCGCGUGUGUGCUUGUGUGCGUGCAUGUGUGCGUGUGUCUGUGUGUGUGUGCGUGUGUACGUGUGUGUGUGUGUGUGUGUGUGCGUGUGUGCGUGCGUGUGUGCGUGUGUCUGUGUGUGUGUGCGUGUGUGCGUGUGUGUGUGUGUGCGUGUGUGUAUGUCUGUGCGCGUGCGUGCGUGUGUGUGCGUGUGUGCGUGUGUGCGUGUGUUUGUGUUUGUGUGCGUGUGCACAUGUGUGUGUGUGUGUGUGUGCGGGUGUUUGUGUGUUUGUGUGUGCGUGUGUUUGUGUGUUUGUGUGUUUGUUUGUGUGUGUGUGUGUGUGUGUGUAUUUGUGUGUGUGUGUGUGUGCUAAGGUGCAGAGAGUCAGUGCAGGUGGUCAGUCCAGUUCAUGUGUCAGAAGUCUAAUGGCUUAUAGUUAGAAACUGCCUCUGGCUGUCUCAGGUCUGCCCGACGGUCAGGGAGUGGACAGCUCCUGGCUGUCUUAGGUCUGCCCGACGGUCAGGGAGUGGACAGCUCCUGGCUGUCUCAGGUCUGCCCGACGGUCAGGGAGUGGACAGCUCCUGGCUGUCUCAGGUCUGCCCGACGGUCAGGGAUUGGACAGCUCCUGGCUGUCUCAGGUCUGCCCGACGGUCAGGGAGUGGACAGCUCCUGGCUGUCUCAGGUCUGCCCGACGGUCAGAGAGUGGACAGCUCCUGGCUGUGUGGGGUCCUUGAUGGUGCUGUGGGACUUCCAUAGGAGCCGUUUCAAGUAGAUGUCCUGGAUGGGUGGGAACACUGUCCAUGUGAUUUACUGGCACGUUUCACCUCCCAUACUAGGCCGUGAAGGCCCGUUUCACCUCCCAUACUAGGCCGUGAAGGCCCGUUUCAGGAUGGUCUCGAUGGUGCAGCGAGAGAGAGAAAAAGAGAGAGAGAGAGAGAGAGAGAGAGACCACAAAAUUACUUCGACCCUGCUGCCAUACAGUGGGUAAACGCAAGCAUUUCCCAUGACUGUGCCUCAAAACCUAACCACUCCACCCUGGACUUGAACAGUCUUUAUGACCAGGUCCACCCAUACAAGGCAGCAGGGCCCACCUUCGCCAGAACCCUGAAGGACGUCACCCUCAACCGCAGCCCCAACAC
Long non-coding RNA from Oncorhynchus tshawytscha (Chinook salmon), 1515 nucleotides. Lineage: Eukaryota; Metazoa; Chordata; Actinopteri; Salmoniformes; Salmonidae. The record is from Ensembl.